UGGGGAAUAUUGCACAAUGGGCGCAAGCCUGAUGCAGCCAUGCCGCGUGUGUGAAGAAGGCCUUCGGGUUUUAAAGCACUUUCAGCGGGGAGGAAGGCGGUGAGGUUAAUAACCUCAUCGAUUGACGUUACCCGCAGAAGAAGCACCGGCUAACUCCGUGCCAGCAGCCGCGGUAAUACGGAUGGUGCAAGCGUUAAUCGGAAUUACUGGGCGUAAAGCGCACGCAGGCGGUCUGUCAAGUCGGAUGUGAAAUCCCCGGGCUCAACCUGGGAACUGCAUUCGAAACUGGCAGGCUAGAGUCUUGUAGAGGGGGGUAGAAUUCCAGGUGUAGCGGUGAAAUGCGUAGAGAUCUGGAGGAAUACCGGUGGCGAAGGCGGCGCCCUGGAAAAAGACUGACGCUAAGGUGCGAAAGCGUGGGGAGCAAACAGG
Molecule: ribosomal RNA, 429 nt
Filed under: Chloroflexota bacterium
Lineage: Bacteria; Bacillati; Chloroflexota
Description: Chloroflexi bacterium partial 16S ribosomal RNA
Rfam family: Bacterial small subunit ribosomal RNA
Source: RNAcentral